ACACACUCUUAUUUCAUCCGGCCUGGGGAGGAGGGGAAAGAGGAAGUCACCUGUGAAAUUGUCUUUGCGCUUUGGACUCAAGCCCCCAGAUGCCUUUGGAUAAUUCCUGCUUGCUAAAGAGGCGGGGCCUUAGUCCUCAUCGGCAGAUGGUUUGGAGACUGAAUCAACUAUCUGAGCCUUCAUCUACCACAUAAGAAUUCCAGCAAACCCUGCAGCUAUCCUGAAGCUGUCAUGCUGGAAAGGCCAAUUGGGAGACCACAUAGAGACCGAGAGAGACUUCCAAGGACUCCAGCCAAUCCUGGGCCCCAGCAAUUUGAAUCUCCCAGCAAUGCCACCAUACAGGAGAGGGAGCAAAUACUCAGAAGAUUCAAGUGCCAGCUGCACGGGUUGAUACCUACAUAAAAGGCACUGGCAUUAUUCACAAGAGCCAAGAUAUGGAAAUAACCUGUGUCCAUUGACAGACGAAUAGAUGAAGGAAAUGUGGCAUAUACACACAAUGUAAUAUUAUUCGGACUUAAAAAAAGAAGGAAAUCCUGAAUCCUGCUAUUUCUGACAACAUGAAACUGCAGGACAUUAUG
RNAcentral lists this long non-coding RNA (578 nucleotides) under Pan troglodytes (chimpanzee). Its description in RNAcentral is "lincRNA". Lineage: Eukaryota; Metazoa; Chordata; Mammalia; Primates; Hominidae. The record is from RNAcentral.